RNA transcript from Helianthus annuus (common sunflower), 2494 nucleotides. It is a transcript of the gene named non-specific lipid-transfer protein, with no coding region annotated. Lineage: Eukaryota; Viridiplantae; Streptophyta; Magnoliopsida; Asterales; Asteraceae. The transcript is spliced from 4 exons. The record is from RefSeq and is a predicted model, not a curated record.
UGCCCUAUUUUGGCAGCCAUCCUCCCAUUAGACGCGUGUCUUCCAGGUUAACACCUUACCCCUCUUACCGGUUUGCUUCUGAUGAGAGAGGAUGGGAAGAGGGAAAAGGGAGAGAGAAGAGAGGGGCGGUGACCGAAGGGUUAUCACCGUCACACCACCAUCGUGGUCACCAUUUGUUGUCUCUUUGUUUUGUGGGGUUUUUAACCUCUUUACGAAUGAUCGCUGGGCUCUCUCUAUUUACCAUCGCCCCUGUUAUUCUCUCUACAAAUUUCUCUCUUUCUCUCCCAAAGGCUAGGAAAUGAACGGUGUUUGUGUUCGUGGUUUGUUUCGAAUGACCUGGGCAACCAUAUUGGUUUGUUAGGGUUUUUCUUUGAUAUUGUGUUGUGUCUAUUGUCGGUUCUUAUGCCUUCGUUGGUUAGGUUUUCUGUCGUGGCUAUGAUGAGUUCAAGGAUUUGACUAAAAAAUUGAUGAACAUGUAGCCUUGGUUUGGCAAGGAUGGUGGAUGGUAAGUUUUCACUUGCAACCCCCUUGCAGCCAUGGAUUUCUAGUUUAGGCUUUAAAACUCUGAGCCUAGGAUGGGAAGUGCCUGUUUAGCCGACUAUGUCCUUGAUUUCUUUUGUUGUUUAUGAUUUGUCAAGUUUUAGGAAUUGCUCAAGAAUGAAGAUAAUACUUGUUCCCAUCUUUUGAAAAAAAAAAAAGACAAAUUAAGACUAGAGUGGUCGGGUAUUAUGUUGUUUUUUUAUUAUAUUAUUGUUGAAGUAGUUGUAAUCUCUUAUUUAUUUAUUAUACUUGCGAGUUUCCAGGGACCUAAUCAUUAUGUGAUUGCUUGCUUGCUGAUAAACUGAUGUUUUCACAUCUCUAAAAUUAACCCAUAUCGAAGUAUCAGUACAUAUAUGCAAAAGUAAAGCACUCUGAUCUUUGAUAAUUUUGCAAAAUUGCUACGUAUGAUGUAUUACUUUAUGCUUAUAGUUGUUCACGAUAUGAUAUUUUUUGUGUCUUUUCACUGUUUGUACCUUGCAAUGUUGAAAUUGUUUUUUUUAUUGACAUUGAUAAUCUAUGUAGACAAUAGUCUUAUACCGCUUUAAUCAUGAAAUGAAAAGAUUUGGUGCUGGUCUUGAUGAAUAUGAUGCAAUCUCUAGGUAUAUAUUAUGCAUUUAUGUCUAAACUUAUAAGUUAAAUUACUUUGUUUUAUAUGGGUCGUGACCGAACGCAAAUGACAUAUGGAAGAGGAUGAGAGUGUUUCAGUUCAAGAUGUGUGGGCCUGGUGAAGACGCGUGCAAGAACCGACAGGAGGGUUUCAGUUUAAGAUGUGUAGGCCUGUUUUGGUUGUUUGAAGAUGGGUUAAAUGCAUGAUUUGUUUGAUUUCUUGUUUUGUAGUAAUGUGAUUGAUCUGAUUAGGUUUUGUUUGAAUGGUUUAGGAUAAAGUGGGGAUGACGGCGACCUUGACGACUGUGGCUUCUAGGAUUCCGUCAAGGGUACCAAUGUCUCUCAACGGAUGAUCUAGAGACAGAAUGGGAAACUUGAAGGUGAUCUUGAACAGCCGCAACGUCAGAGACUUGAAUCGGUUCCGACAAGAAUGGGUACAUCAUGAAGCCAUGCGUGAGAGUGGCUGAGAAAAACAGAUGGUCGGCUGAGGCCUUCCCUACGCCUUCAUACGACCCCGGUGGUGGUAGCGCAACCAUUUGGCAGCGGCUCCACAAUCCUCUAUGUCAUCAUUAAGGUUACUGAUUUUGUAUACACAUGGAGUUGCAAGUUGUGUAUGGGUUUGUAUCUUAGGUAAACCCUCAACGGGUUCUAAACGACCUGAACAACGCUAGUUGGUGCAAUGACCUGAAUUUUUCUGUUUAGCAAAAAUCAAAGUUAAGGAUCCUUUGCGAGAUUAAUAGUAGAUUUAUUAUCACAGAAAAUUAUAGGCUGACACUCCAUGUUAAACUUCAGAUCAUUUAAAAUUCCUUUAAGCCAUAGAGCUUGACAUCCGGCCAUUGACAAUGCGAUGUAUUCUGCUUCUGUUGAUGACAAAGCUACUACACGUUGUUUCUUGGACUGCCAGGCGAUGGCUCCUGAUCCCACUUUGUUGAUUGUAUGAAUUAGGGUUCGAAGUUUCAGAGAGAAAAAGGAUAAUUUGUUCGUGUAUUCGAAUUGGUAAAUUGUUACAGUAAUACAUAUGAUUACAUAUAUACACGGCAGGUUUGACAGUAACCGCCGGAACUUAGGAAUUAACAUAAUAAUAACAUGAUAAUGUAACUUUAUAAAUAACCUAUGCUAUAUAAUUACUUAUAAAUAUAUCUAGCUUAUGUCUAUAAUCCAAUAAAAAUAUGACCCAGAGGAUACUUGCCAGUAACUUCCAGGUUAAAUUAGUUAAAAACUUCACUGAAUUGAGUUUAGAUGAUCAAUUGCAGAAGUGUAAUUCACAUAUAUUUAUGAGAGUUUAAAUUCUUUAUUAUUGGAAAUUUUUAUGGAUUGUUUAUAUUUUACUCUGUUCUUUUUUUCUUUU